RNAcentral lists this ribosomal RNA (253 nucleotides) under uncultured bacterium. RNAcentral's name for it is "partial 16S ribosomal RNA". It matches the Rfam family "Bacterial small subunit ribosomal RNA", at positions 524 to 776 of the family's 1533-position model. The record is from RNAcentral.
UACGUAGGGGGCAAGCGUUGUCCGGAAUCAUUGGGCGUAAAGCGCGUGUAGGCGGCUUCGUAAGUCCGUUGUGAAAGUCCAGGGCUCAACCCUGGAAUGCCGAUGGAUACUGCGGAGCUAGAGUCCGGAAGAGGCGAGUGGAAUUCCUGGUGUAGCGGUGAAAUGCGCAGAUAUCAGGAGGAACACCAAUGGUGAAGGCAGCUCGCUGGGACGGUACUGACGCUGAGACGCGAAAGCGUGGGGAGCAAACAGG